This 292-nucleotide ribosomal RNA is filed under the name uncultured bacterium. Its description in RNAcentral is "partial 16S ribosomal RNA". It matches the Rfam family "Bacterial small subunit ribosomal RNA", at positions 505 to 796 of the family's 1533-position model. The record is from RNAcentral.
GUGUCAGCCGCCGCGGUAAAACGUAGGUGGCGAGCGUUAUCCGGAUUUACUGGGUGUAAAGCGCGUGCAGGCGGCUUAUCAAGUGGGAUGUGAAAGCGCCCGGCUCAACCGGGCGAGGACGUUGCAGACUGAUAAGCUAGAGGCUGGAAGAGGCGAGUGGAAUUCCGGGUGUAGUGGUGAAAUGCGUAGAGAUCCGGAGGAACACCAGUGGCGAAGGCGACUCGCUGGUCCAGGACUGACGCUCAGACGCGAAAGCAUGGGGAGCGAACGGGAUUAGAUACCCUAGUAGUCC